UUUACAUGUCUAUAAUUAUUGUGGGUGUAGGUGACCUGUAUUACAAUAGUCUUUGGGGCUUUGACUAUGAUUAAGUAAAUGACAAUUUUGAAUUAUGUAGUCAAGUCCUUCAUUUUUAGGUAUCACAAACAUUUAUGCAGUACUAUAAUCAUGGCUGUAAUCUAUUUUCCCUAGGGGUAAAGUGUUGAAGAAAUACCAACCAGAUGAUGAACUUUUUUUGUUCUUUGCAUUUUCUUAUAAAGCGGAUAGUUUUGAUGUGUGAUCAUAGGAAAAUUUGGGGAAUGGCAGAGCUAGUAAGGCAAAAUGGAGGAAGACUGGUGGAAGUAAUGGUUAUGGAGUGAAAUAGGUUGUAGAUGGAGUACCGUACCUGAUCUCCUGUACAUCACUCCCAACAUCAACUCUAUCAAUCAAUUUCAGAACACUUGAAGGUUCUCGCUUUAGAUAAUCAGAAACAUUCAAAGGUCUCAGUUCAAGCUUCGAAAUAGGAGAUGUAGAUAUUGACAGUUGAAAAGGGUGGGAUGAGUGUUUAUGAAAGAUUGGGAUAUUCAUGACUACGUAGGGUAGAUAACUCGGUCAAUUAACUCGAUUUUAUAGCAUUGUCAUGAGUUGGUAGAUUUUGUCACAAUAUCGGUUAAAAUGUAAUUUAGCAAGAUCAUACAAGACUGAAUUCUAGAAGAAAGAUAAUAUAUAAACUAUAUGUCGGGAAUAUUAUGUGGUAUUGUCUACGUGAUACUUUCAACCAAUAAGAAAUUGUAAUGCACGCUAAAUGUUUGUUUGGAGGACUUAACAUUGGGAUUGGAUUAAUAAUCCUACAAAAUGCAAGAUUUGAUAUUUAGCUGAGCAAAUUGGUGUUUGGACUAGUAAUCUAUUUAGACAUAGUAUUCCUUGUAUAGGAGACUAUUGAAUUCCAAGAAAGGGGUGAGAUAUAAAAUGGAGUAAGUAAAUGUUUAGAUUUAUUAGUUAAAUUGUAAAAUUGAUAGGUUUUGUCAAUCCCUCUUUAUAAACAUAAAACAAUUUAAACAUGGAAUAGGAUAAACAAUUCCAAAAAAUUGAUAAUUCUAGGACUAACCGUUUAAAUGCUAGUGUGUUUGGUUUUAGUUUUUUAAAUUUAAUUUUUUGAAAAUUGAGUUUUUUGUUUUUCGUGUUUUUUGUUUUGUUUUUGUUUUUAGUGAAUAUUUUAAAAAUUUUAAACAUUUUUUUUUUAUU
Camellia sinensis is the source of this 1206-nucleotide long non-coding RNA. RefSeq lists it as uncharacterized. The record is from RefSeq and is a predicted model, not a curated record. Lineage: Eukaryota; Viridiplantae; Streptophyta; Magnoliopsida; Ericales; Theaceae.